AACCCUGCGGCGACCGGCGACGGGUAGUAAUGCAUCGGAACGUGUCCUCUUGUGGGGGAUAACCAGUCGAAAGACUUGGCUUAAUCCCGCAUGAGCUCGUAAGAGGAAAGCAGGGGACCCGCAAGGGCCUUGCGCGAGAGGAGCGGCCGAUGCCCGAUUAGCUAGUUGGUGGGGUAAGAGCCCACCAAGGCGACGAUCGGUAGCUGGUCUGAGNGGCGACCAACCACACUGGGACUGAGCCCGGCCCAGACUCCUACGGGAGGCAGCAGUGGGGAAUUUUGGACAAUGGGGGCAACCCUGAUCCAGCCAUGCCGCGUGUGUGAAGAAGGCCUUCGGGUUGUAAAGCACUUUCAGACGGAACGAAAUCGCUCACGUUAAUACCGCGCGUGGAUGACGG
Molecule: ribosomal RNA, 397 nt
Filed under: uncultured bacterium
Lineage: Bacteria
Description: bacterial SSU rRNA
Rfam family: Bacterial small subunit ribosomal RNA
Source: RNAcentral